AUUGAACGCUGGCGGCAUGCCUUACACAUGCAAGUCGAACGGCAGCACGGGGGCAACCCUGGUGGCGAGUGGCGAACGGGUGAGUAAUACAUCGGAACGUGUCCUGUAGUGGGGGAUAGCCCGGCGAAAGCCGGAUUAAUACCGCAUACGCUCUACGGAGGAAAGGGGGGGAUCUUAGGACCUCCCGCUACAGGGGCGGCCGAUGGCAGAUUAGCUAGUUGGUGGGGUAAAGGCCUACCAAGGCGACGAUCUGUAGCUGGUCUGAGAGGACGACCAGCCACACUGGGACUGAGACACGGCCCAGACUCCUACGGGAGGCAGCAGUGGGGAAUUUUGGACAAUGGGGGCAACCCUGAUCCAGCAAUGCCGCGUGUGUGAAGAAGGCCUUCGGGUUGUAAAGCACUUUUGUCCGGAAAGAAAACGCCGUGGUUAAUACCCGUGGCGGAUGACGGUACCGGAAGAAUAAGCACCGGCUAACUACGUGCCAGCAGCCGCGGUAAUACGUAGGGUGCAAGCGUUAAUCGGAAUUACUGGGCGUAAAGCGUGCGCAGGCGGUCCGCUAAGACAGAUGUGAAAUCCCCGGGCUUAACCUGGGAAC
This 598-nucleotide ribosomal RNA is filed under the name uncultured bacterium. RNAcentral's name for it is "bacterial SSU rRNA". It matches the Rfam family "Bacterial small subunit ribosomal RNA", at positions 28 to 621 of the family's 1533-position model. The record is from RNAcentral.